Molecule: long non-coding RNA, 1416 nt
Organism: Anarrhichthys ocellatus (wolf-eel)
Lineage: Eukaryota; Metazoa; Chordata; Actinopteri; Perciformes; Anarhichadidae
Exons: 3
Source: RefSeq, a predicted model, not a curated record
UUCUCCUCUUUCUCCUCCUUCUUCUCCUCCUCCUUCUUCUUCCUCUUAUGUUCUUUUAAAUGUCCACAGUUAUAGAUCAUGAGACAGUCGUGCAUGUCUAUCAUUUAAAGUUGUAUGUCUGUAGUUUUACGACAGUAAGUUCAGGACUUUGGACUUAAUUUGGGACGCGUUGGUCCACUGGUUGCUAAGCUACCGCUAACCCCUCCAGGAAGUGAGACUGUUUCCUUCCUCCUUUGUUUCCUCAGCAUCACUGCAGGAAGUGCGGUCAGGCCGUGUGCGGUAAGUGUUCGUCCAGACGCUCCACCAUCCCGCUCAUGGGCUUCGAGUUCGAGGUGCGAGUGUGCGACAGCUGCAGCGAGUCCAUCAGCGACGAGGAUCGAGCCCCAACGGUCACUUUCCACGACAGCAAGCACGGCAUCGUCUACAUGCACUACGAGCCGACCACCGGGAACCUGCUGACCUCAGGAACCGACAAGGUCCUCAAGCUGUGGGACAUGAGUCCUGUGGUGUCCUGAGUUCACCAAAGACCGGGACGGUGUCAGGGAGGCGGUCUGAGAGGGAGAGAGAGGGGCUCAUCCAUCGAUAUCCACGUCAUCUGGAUCUUAUUUACCAGCUGCUCAUCAGCGAGGACUCUACAGGACUCUGUGGGGCUCUACAGGACUCUGUGGGGCUCUACAGCACUCUGUGGGAAUCUGUGGGGCUCUACAGGACUCUGUGGGGCUCUACAGGACUCUGUGGGAAUCUACAGGACUCUGUAGGACUCUGUGGGGCUCUACAGGACUCUGUAGGACUCUACAGGACUUUGUAGGGCUCUGCGGGACUCUGCAGGACUCUGAAGCAGGACAGGUCUCUGUUGACACCAGGCCACAGACCGGUGGGUGUUUGAGUGACAGGUGGAUUCUCUUAAGAGUUUAAAGUUGAGGAGUUGACUCUUUAAUUUACUUAAUUUUCACGCAUUCCUGCCGGCUUCCUCCUGGAAACAGGAAGUGAAGCGUUUCCUCCUGGAAACAGGAAGUGAAGCGUUUCUUUUUGCUUUCCACUUGAUCACCUUCGUCCGGCUGCAGACCGGCACCCCCUUCAGGUGGAGACGGGGACUGCAGCAGUGCUUCACCUUCUCUGUUGUCUUCACCUCCUCAGGAAGACUUUCACCCCCCCCUCUAUAAAACCACUUAGAGACACGAGGUUCAUUAGGGUUUAAAAUGUAAACCUUCAGUUAAAUGCAGGUGUCAACACUAGAAGCUGUUGCAGGUCUGUCCUGUAGAUGGUGCUCAUGAGCUUAUUAAAGUCUGCAGCUCUUCAAAGAGACAGACGUGAUGUUUGUAUCUUGUACUUCUACACAGUCAGUGUGUUACUACAGUGAUGUUCAGAUGUGGACGUAUGUUGGACUCCUAACAGAAUCAGUUUAAGUGAACGCUA